AGGACGAACGCUGGCGGCGUGCCUAACACAUGCAAGUCGAACGGGGAUUUGUUUCGGCAGAAUCCUAGUGGCGAACGGGUGAGUAACGCGUAGGCAACCUGCCCUCCGGCCGGGGACAACACUCCGAAAGGGGUGCUAAUACCGGAUACGAAGUCUGUGCCGCAUGGUACGGAUUUGAAAGAUGGCCUCUAUUUAUAAGCUAUCGCCGGGGGAUGGGCCUGCGUCCGAUUAGCUGGUUGGUGGGGUAACGGCCUACCAAGGCGACGAUCGGUAGCCGGUCUGAGAGGAUGAACGGCCACAUUGGGACUGAGACACGGCCCAGACUCCUACGGGAGGCAGCAGUGGGGAAUCUUCCGCAAUGGGCGCAAGCCUGACGGAGCAACGCCGCGUGAGUGAGGAAGUUCUUCGGAACGUAAAGCUCUGUUGUUCCUGACGAACCUCCCCUUUAUCAACAACGGAGGGGACUGACGGUAGGGAACGAGGAAGCCACGGCUAACUACGUGCCAGCCGCUGC
This 514-nucleotide ribosomal RNA is filed under the name uncultured bacterium. RNAcentral's name for it is "bacterial SSU rRNA". It matches the Rfam family "Bacterial small subunit ribosomal RNA", at positions 26 to 518 of the family's 1533-position model. The record is from RNAcentral.